Molecule: non-coding RNA, 2062 nt
Organism: Xyrichtys novacula (pearly razorfish)
Lineage: Eukaryota; Metazoa; Chordata; Actinopteri; Labriformes; Labridae
Source: the annotation of a GenBank genome assembly
AUUUUGCUACUUUUUUUCAUCUUCCCACUUUGUGCUAUUUCAACCUUUCAAACUUUAUAGUAAUGCACUCCUUCAGUGUCAUUUAUUACAUAGGUGUUGUGUUACACAGAGGAGGGCCUAAGAUUUUAAAAUUUUGUAAGGGUUGUGGCCACCCGAUUUGUCCCGGAAACACGUUUUGUACUUAGUAACCUUUAUUUAACCAGGAAAUAAACCCAUUGAGAUUCAGAAUCUCUUUUACAAGGGAGUCCUGGCCAGGAUAGCAGCACAAGAAGUUCCACAUUAAAAAAAAAAAAAAAAAAAACACGCAGAAAAACAAAACAGUUACAGUAUGCAAACACAACAAUAAAUCAGCGUUCAGUAAGAGGACGUGCAUUCAGGACUCAAAAACUCCUUAAUUCUAGUUUUAAAAUGUUCCACACUUGGCAGAUAAUCCAAUUUAAAAUAACCCUGUAAAUUACACCAGGAGGAGGGUGCAAAAGCCUUGAAAGCGCUUUCGCCAAAAACCGUCCUUGUCUGAGGAAUAGCGUACAUGAUCUGUCCAUCAGACCGGAGAUUACUCCUGUUGGUGAUUUUGGGAGUUAAGAGGGAACAUAGGUAAGAGGGCAAGUCACCUAGAAUGGCCUUGUAAAGAAAGAUAUACCAAUGUUCCAAUCUACGAUUUUGCAGAGAGGACCAACCAACACUCUCAUAUAAGCUGCAGUGAUGAGUACGAAAAUCUAAGCCAGUUACAAAUCUUCAUGCUGCAUGAUACACUGAGUCCAGUAUUUUUAAAGAAGAGAGAUUUGUAUGCAUGUAUAAAAGUCCCCAUAAUCAAGUAUGGAUAAAAACGUUGCCUGUAUAAGCCUUUUUCUUGCACCAAAGGAGAAACAACCCUUGUUUCUAUAGAAGAAACCCAGUUUCACCCAGAGUUUCUUUGUAAGACACUCAAUAUGGUGCCUAAAGGACAAAUUUUCUUUCAAGUGAAAUCCCAGGUAUUUGUAGACAGAAACUCUUACAACUAAUUUCUCAUUUAGAGUAACAAUCUGACAGACGUCAUCUGAUUUCAAUGAUUUUGAAAAGCACAUCAUUUUAGUCUUGUCAGUAUUGAGUACAAGUCUUAAUUGAUAGAGAUUUUUUUUUUAUUGGUAUUUUAUAUUUUAUAUUUGUUUUUUAUCUACCUAUGUAUUUUAUAUUUGUUUUUAUUUAUGGUGUAUUUGUACCUCAAUUUUACUUUGCUGUAUUUUAAUCUUGUAUUCUGUGUUUUUGAUUAUAUUGUUUACUGUCUGUUUUAUGUAUUUCGCUGUGUCUUAUUGACCUGUACAGCACUUUGGUCAGCUUCGGUUGUUUUUAAAGUGCUCUAUAAAUAAAGUUUGAGUUGAGUUGAGUUGAGCUAAUGAUGGAGCUGAACAAUACAAAACAGUGUCAUCUGCAUAGAAGUGGAAACUGGCAUCAGUUACAUUUUGACAUAAUGCAUUAAUAUAAAUAGUAAAUAAAAUAGGACCCAGUAUGGACCCCUGAGGGACACCGUUUCGAAUAGACAAGCAGUUGGAACACAGACCAUCAACCUGAACCCUUUGUGUUCUGCCACUCAAGUAGUUACCAAACCAUUUCACCGUAUUAGUAGACAUUCCAAUAUCCUCCAAUCUCUGGGACAAGAUAGAGUGGUCGACCGUGUCAAAAGCCUUUGACAGAUCUAGGAACAAAGCAACACAAUAUUCUUUAGAGUAGGCCUGUCGCGAUAAUCAAUAAAUCGCCUUAUCGCUCGGUAAAUAAAAACGAGGUCGGUCAUUUUGCCAGCCUCGAUAAUUGACGUGCGUUUGUUUUCCUCCUCUCUCGCUACCAAACACGCUGGAUGAGAGAAGAGGUCUCACUCUGCGCAUUUUUCUCGGCACCUGGGGGCGUUGGCUCUAUAGCGGAAUGAACGGAGUUAGUGAACCCUCCUGUCAGUCAUUCAGUAUCUUUGUCACGGGGGGGGGCGUGCGCACAGGCACACAGACACAGACUUUUGGAUACAGUGCUGCAAGUGAGCGUCGUGAGUGAAAAGCAAGCAAACAGAAUGAACACGACAGCUUUGGUGUCUAAA